UGAUCACAGUACAGCUGCUGAUUUACACGGACACGGAGCAGAAAACCUGACAUAACGCGAUGUAACAGACGCAGGUGUGCGGGCGUCAGCACAUGCGACGCGUUUGACGCUGGAAAUAGCAGGACAAUUAUGUGAAACGCGCCGUUCAGAUCCUGUGUCAUAUUAGUCAGGUAUAUUUUCCAGUGAUGUGCAUGAAGACAGAAACAAGAACAAGCACACAGGUAAAUAUUGCAGUUGCAUCCUGAGUGUUUAUUGUUAUUGUCUGGUACCUGCAUUUCUGCAAGGAUGCUGGAAACCCAUCAUAGUGUUUUGCAUUGGUCUCUGAUGCCCUUGUUAUGUGGAUGAAACAGUCGGCACAUCAUGGAAACCAAGCAGAACAGUGAAAGGCACAAUCACCAGAGACAUCAUGAUACACCAAUCAUUUUUUAAUACUCUAUUUGUACUUUGUUACUAUAAGGUGAACAUCUCUUCUCAUUAACAAUAUUGGGAAAAAAUACAAGCAUAUUUAUUUUU
Long non-coding RNA from Carassius gibelio (silver crucian carp), 513 nucleotides. RefSeq lists it as uncharacterized. NCBI's taxonomy places the organism in Eukaryota, Metazoa, Chordata, Actinopteri, Cypriniformes, Cyprinidae. The transcript is spliced from 3 exons. The record is from RefSeq and is a predicted model, not a curated record.